UACAGAGGUCUCAAGCGUUGUUCGGAUUCAUUGGGCGUAAAGGGUGCGUAGGCGGCGCGGUAAGUCGGGUGUGGAAUCUCGGAGCUUAACUCCGAAACUGCAUUCGAUACUGCCGUGCUUGAGGACUGGAGAGGAGACUGGAAUUUACGGUGUAGCGGUGAAAUGCGUAGAUAUCGUAAGGAAGACCAGUGGCGAAGGCGGGUCUCUGGACAGUUACUGACGCUGAGGCACGAAGGCCAGGGGAGCAAACGGG
This 253-nucleotide ribosomal RNA is filed under the name uncultured bacterium. RNAcentral describes it as "partial 16S ribosomal RNA". It matches the Rfam family "Bacterial small subunit ribosomal RNA", at positions 524 to 776 of the family's 1533-position model. The record is from RNAcentral.